RNAcentral lists this ribosomal RNA (482 nucleotides) under uncultured bacterium. Its description in RNAcentral is "partial 16S ribosomal RNA". It matches the Rfam family "Bacterial small subunit ribosomal RNA", at positions 30 to 507 of the family's 1533-position model. The record is from RNAcentral.
AUUGAACGCUGGCGGCAUGCUUUACACAUGCAAGUCGAACGGUAACAGCACUUCGGUGGCUGACGAGUGGCGAACGGGUGCGUAAUACAUCGGAACGUGCCUCGUAGUGGGGGAUAACUACUCGCAAGAGUAGCUAAUACCGCAUGAGAUCUAAGGAUGAAAGCCGGGGACCUUCGGGCCUUGCGCUACUAGAGCGGCUGCUGGCAGAUUAGCUAGUUGGUGGGAUAAAAGCUUACCAAGCCGACGAUCUGUAGCUGGUCUGAGAGGACGACCCGCCACACUGGGACUGAGACACGGCCCAGACUCCUACGGGAGGCAGCAGUGGGGAAUCUUGGACAAUGGGCGCAAGCCUGAUCCAGCAAUGCCGCGUGCAGGAUGAAGGCCUUCGGGUUGUAAACUGCUUUUGUACGGAACGAAAAGCCCUCUUCUAAUACAGGAGGGUCAUGACGGUACCGUAAGAAUAAGCACCGGCUAACUACGUG